This 514-nucleotide ribosomal RNA is filed under the name uncultured methanogenic archaeon. Its description in RNAcentral is "bacterial SSU rRNA". It matches the Rfam family "Archaeal small subunit ribosomal RNA", at positions 28 to 550 of the family's 1478-position model. Lineage: Archaea; Methanobacteriati; Methanobacteriota. The record is from RNAcentral.
UGCUAUCGGAGUUCGAUUAAGCCAUGCGAGUCGAGAGGUGCAAGACCUCGGCAUACUGCUCAGUAACACGUGGACAAUCUACCCUGUGGAGGGGGAUAACCCCGGGAAACUGGGGAUAAUACCCCAUAGACUAUGGAUGCUGGAAUGCUCUGUAGCCGAAAGGUCCGCCGCCACAGGAUGAGUCUGCGGCCGAUUAGGUUGUUGUUGGGGUAACGGCCCAACAAGCCUGUAAUCGGUACGGGUUGUGGGAGCAAGAGCCCGGAGAUGGAUUCUGAGACACGAAUCCAGGCCCUACGGGGCGCAGCAGGCGCGAAAACUUUGCAAUGCGGGAAACCGUGACAAGGGAACUCCGAGUGCCCGUAAAUUCGGGCUGUCCGCCAGUGUAAAAAACUGGUGAAGAAAGGGCCGGGCAAGACCGGUGCCAGCCGCCGCGGUAAUACCGGCGGCUCGAGUGGUGGCCACUAUUACUGGGCUUAAAGCGUUCGUAGCUGGCCUGUUAAGUCUCUGGGGAAAU